ACAUGGAUGUCCCAUUUUCCUUGGAAGCUUUCCCAACUUCCCCAAACACCUUGUCAGCAUUUCUAUCAGUUCCUUUGUAUCCAGCCCAGGAAGAGUUAUUCUAAAACUUUUUAUUUUGGGAAGUUCUAAAUAUUUACUAAAAUCGAUACCCAUGGAACUAUCACCCAGGCUAACAGUGGUCAUCCUUGGCCGGGCUUGUUCCGUCUGUCUACUUCUCCCUCCUGUAAUGCUUUGAAGAAGAUUCCAGACAUCAUAUCAUUCAUCUAUAAAUAUUUUAGCACUUAUCUCUAAAAGUUUGCUUGAACCAGGAGCCAGAAUAUCUUACUAUUGGUUGAUAUCCUGAUGGCAAUGCCCACAUCUAAUUCAGGCAUCUGCUCAAAUAUUACCUCAUCGGAAAGACCCUU
Molecule: long non-coding RNA, 404 nt
Organism: Lutra lutra (Eurasian river otter)
Lineage: Eukaryota; Metazoa; Chordata; Mammalia; Carnivora; Mustelidae
Exons: 3
Source: RefSeq, a predicted model, not a curated record